AAUAGAUACCCUGGUAGUCCACGCCGUAAACGAUGAGUGCUAAGUGUUAGAGGGUUUCCGCCCUUUAGUGCUGCAGCUAACGCAUUAAGCACUCCGCCUGGGGAGUACGGUCGCAAGACUGAAACUCAAAGGAAUUGACGGGGGCCCGCACAAGCGGUGGAGCAUGUGGUUUAAUUCGAAGCAACGCGAAGAACCUUACCAGGUCUUGACAUCCUCUGACAACUCUAGAGAUAGAGCGUUCCCCUUCGGGGGACAGAGUGACAGGUGGUGCAUGGUUGUCGUCAGCUCGUGUCGUGAGAUGUUGGGUUAAGUCCCGCAACGAGCGCAACCCUUGAUCUUAGUUGCCAGCAUUCAGUUGGGCACUCUAAGGUGACUGCCGGUGACAAACCGGAGGAAGGUGGGGAUGACGUCAAAUCAUCAUGCCCCUUAUGACCUGGGCUACACACGUGCUACAAUGGAUGGUACAAAGGGCUGCAAGACCGCGAGGUCAAGCCAAUCCCAUAAAACCCAUUCUCAGUUCGGAUUGGUA
This 529-nucleotide ribosomal RNA is filed under the name uncultured bacterium. RNAcentral describes it as "bacterial SSU rRNA". It matches the Rfam family "Bacterial small subunit ribosomal RNA", at positions 777 to 1303 of the family's 1533-position model. The record is from RNAcentral.